GACGAACGCUGGCGGCGUGCCUAAUACAUACAAGUUGAGCGCUGAAGGUUGGUACUUGUCCCAACUGGAUGAGCAGCAAACGGGUGAGUAACGCGUGGGGAAUCUGCCUUUGAGCGGGGGACAACAUUUGGAAACGAAUGCUAAUACCGCAUAAAAACUUUAAACACAAGUUUUAAGUUUGAAAGAUGCAAUUGCAUCACUCAAAGAUGAUCCCGCGUUGUAUUAGCUAGUUGGUGAGGUAAAGGCUCACCAAGGCGAUGAUACAUAGCCGACCUGAGAGGGUGAUCGGCCACAUUGGGACUGAGACACGGCCCAAACCCCUACGGGAGGCAGCAGUAGGGAAUCUUCGGCAAUGGACGAAAGUCUGACCGAGCAACGCCGCGGGAGUGAAGAAGGUUUUCGGAUCGUAAAACUCUGUUGGUAGAGAAGAACGUUGGUGAGAGUGGAAAGCUCAUCAAGUGACGGUAACUACCCAGAAAGGGACGGCUAACUACGUG
This 497-nucleotide ribosomal RNA is filed under the name uncultured bacterium. RNAcentral describes it as "partial 16S ribosomal RNA". It matches the Rfam family "Bacterial small subunit ribosomal RNA", at positions 28 to 507 of the family's 1533-position model. The record is from RNAcentral.